Molecule: ribosomal RNA, 3122 nt
Filed under: Streptomyces rochei
Lineage: Bacteria; Bacillati; Actinomycetota; Actinomycetes; Kitasatosporales; Streptomycetaceae
Description: 23S ribosomal RNA
Rfam family: Bacterial large subunit ribosomal RNA
Source: RNAcentral
GGCCAAGUUUUUAAGGGCGCACGGUGGAUGCCUUGGCACCAGGAACCGAUGAAGGACGUGGGAGGCCACGAUAGGCCCCGGGGAGUCGUCAACCAGGCUUUGAUCCGGGGGUGUCCGAAUGGGGAAACCCGGCAGUCGUCAUGGGCUGUCACCCGCUGCUGAACACAUAGGCAGUGUGGAGGGAACGCGGGGAAGUGAAACAUCUCAGUACCCGCAGGAAGAGAAAACAACCGUGAUUCCGGGAGUAGUGGCGAGCGAAACUGGAUGAGGCCAAACCGUAUACGUGUGAGACCCGGCAGGGGUUGCGUGUGCGGGGUUGUGGGAUCUCUCUUCCACGGUCUGCCGGCCGUGGGGCGAGUCAGAAACCGUUGAUGUAGACGAAGGACAUGCGAAAGGUCCGGCGUAGAGGGUAAGACCCCCGUAGUCGAAACGUCAGCGGCUUGCUUGAGAGACACCCAAGUAGCACGGGGCCCGAGAAAUCCCGUGUGAAUCUGGCGGGACCACCCGCUAAGCCUAAAUAUUCCCUGGUGACCGAUAGCGGAUAGUACCGUGAGGGAAUGGUGAAAAGUACCGCGGGAGCGGAGUGAAAUAGUACCUGAAACCGUGUGCCUACAAGCCGUGGGAGCGUCGGACAUCAGCUUGCUGGUGUCUCGUGACUGCGUGCCUUUUGAAGAAUGAGCCUGCGAGUUUGCGGUGUGUUGCGAGGUUAACCCGGGUGGGGUAGCCGUAGCGAAAGCGAGUCCGAACAGGGCGAUUCAGUAGCACGCUCAAGACCCGAAGCGGAGUGAUCUAGCCAUGGGCAGGUUGAAGCGGAGGUAAGACUUCGUGGAGGACCGAACCCACCAGGGUUGAAAACCUGGGGGAUGACCUGUGGUUAGGGGUGAAAGGCCAAUCAAACUCCGUGAUAGCUGGUUCUCCCCGAAAUGCAUUUAGGUGCAGCGUCGUGUGUUUCUUGCCGGAGGUAGAGCACUGGAUAGGCGAUGGGCCCUACCGGGUUACUGACCUUAGCCAAACUCCGAAUGCCGGUAAGUGAGAGCGCGGCAGUGAGACUGUGGGGGAUAAGCUCCAUGGUCGAGAGGGAAACAGCCCAGAGCAUCGACUAAGGCCCCUAAGCGUACGCUAAGUGGGAAAGGAUGUGGAGUCGCACAGACAACCAGGAGGUUGGCUUAGAAGCAGCCACCCUUGAAAGAGUGCGUAAUAGCUCACUGGUCUAGUGAUUCCGCGCCGACAAUGUAGCGGGGCUCAAGCGUACCGCCGAAGUCGUGUCAUUCAUACAACAGGGCCAACGCCUGUAUGGAUGGGUAGGGGAGCGUCGUGUGCCGGGUGAAGCAGCCGCGGAAGCGAGUUGUGGACGGUUCACGAGUGAGAAUGCAGGCAUGAGUAGCGAUACAAACGUGAGAAACGUUUGCGCCGAUUGACUAAGGGUUCCUGGGUCAAGCUGAUCUGCCCAGGGUAAGUCGGGACCUAAGGCGAGGCCGACAGGCGUAGUCGAUGGAUAACCGGUUGAUAUUCCGGUACCCGCUGUGAAGCGUCAAACAUCGAAUCCAGUGAUGCUAAGGCCGUGAAGCCGCCCCUGAUCUCUUCGGAGUGAGGGGGAGUGGUGGAGCCGCUGAACCAAGUUGGUAGUAGGUGAGUGAUGGGGUGACGCAGGAAGGUAGUCCAUCCCGGGCGGUGGUUGUCCCGGGGUAAGGGUGUAGGACGUCAGGUAGGUAAAUCCGCCUGGCAAUAGUCUGAGACCUGAUGCCGAGCCGAUUGUGGUGAAGUGGAUGAUCCUAUGCUGUCGAGAAAAGCCUCUAGCGAGUUUCAUGGCGGCCCGUACCCUAAACCGACUCAGGUGGUCAGGUAGAGAAUACCGAGGCGUUCGGGUGAACUAUGGUUAAGGAACUCGGCAAAAUGCCCCCGUAACUUCGGGAGAAGGGGGGCCAUUCUUGGUGAUCGGAUUUACUCCGUGAGCUGGGGGUGGCCGCAGAGACCAGCGAGAAGCGACUGUUUACUAAAAACACAGGUCCGUGCGAAGCCGUAAGGCGAUGUAUACGGACUGACGCCUGCCCGGUGCUGGAACGUUAAGGGGACCGGUUAGCUCCAUUUCGGUGGGGCGAAGCUGAGAACUUAAGCGCCAGUAAACGGCGGUGGUAACUAUAACCAUCCUAAGGUAGCGAAAUUCCUUGUCGGGUAAGUUCCGACCUGCACGAAUGGCGUAACGACUUCUCGACUGUCUCAACCAUAGGCCCGGUGAAAUUGCACUACGAGUAAAGAUGCUCGUUUCGCGCAGCAGGACGGAAAGACCCCGGGACCUUUACUACAGUUUGAUAUUGGUGUUCGGUUCGGCUUGUGUAGGAUAGCUGGGAGACUUUGAAGCUCGCACGCCAGUGUGGGUGGAGUCGUCGUUGAAAUACCAGUCUGGUCGUGCUGGAUGUCUAACCUGGGUCCGUGAUCCGGAUCAGGGACAGUGUCUGAUGGGUAGUUUAACUGGGGCGGUUGCCUCCUAAAGGGUAACGGAGGCGCCCAAAGGUUCCCUCAGCCUGGUUGGCAAUCAGGUGUUGAGUGUAAGUGCACAAGGGAGCUUGACUGUGAGACCGACGGGUCGAGCAGGGACGAAAGUCGGGACUAGUGAUCCGGCGGUGGCUUGUGGAAGCGCCGUCGCUCAACGGAUAAAAGGUACCCCGGGGAUAACAGGCUGAUCUUCCCCAAGAGUCCAUAUCGACGGGAUGGUUUGGCACCUCGAUGUCGGCUCGUCGCAUCCUGGGGCUGGAGUCGGUCCCAAGGGUUGGGCUGUUCGCCCAUUAAAGCGGUACGCGAGCUGGGUUUAGAACGUCGUGAGACAGUUCGGUCCCUAUCCGCUGUGCGCGUAGGAGUCUUGAGAAGGGCUGUCCCUAGUACGAGAGGACCGGGACGGACGAACCUCUGGUGUGCCAGUUGUUCUGCCAAGGGCAUGGCUGGUUGGCUACGUUCGGGAGGGAUAACCGCUGAAAGCAUCUAAGCGGGAAGCCUGCUUCGAGAUGAGGACUCCCACCUCCUAGAGAGGGUAAGGCUCCCAGUAGACGACUGGGUUGAUAGGCCAGAUAUGGAAGCCGGGUAACCGGUGGAGUUGACUGGUACUAAUAGGCCGAGGGCUUGUCCUC